CCUCAGAUUCAUACAAAAGUAGGUUAAGGAUGACAAGUGUCGGCUCAUUCCAGCCAUUAGCAAAAUCUCCAAAAAACAUACACACAAUAAUCCCACUUUCAUGCAACUACGUGGAACCUCACUUCACCAACCAAGAUUAUUGAGCUAUAUGCUCACACUCCCUCAACUCACACAUGCACUAAAGCUAGAAGCAGUCUUACCUCCUAUAAA
RNAcentral lists this long non-coding RNA (210 nucleotides) under Salvia miltiorrhiza (redroot sage). Its description in RNAcentral is "long non-coding RNA (SMIL_LNC002703)". The record is from RNAcentral. Lineage: Eukaryota; Viridiplantae; Streptophyta; Magnoliopsida; Lamiales; Lamiaceae.